GGGGAAUAUUGCACAAUGGGCGAAAGCCUGAUGCAGCAACGCCGCGUGAGUGAUGAAGGUCUUCGGAUUGUAAAGCUCUGUCUUUUGGGACGAUAAUGACGGUACCAAAGGAGGAAGCCACGGCUAACUACGUGCCAGCAGCCGCGGUAAUACGUAGGUGGCGAGCGUUGUCCGGAUUUACUGGGCGUAAAGGGUGCGUAGGCGGAUGUUUAAGUGAGAUGUGAAAUACCCGGGCUUAACUUGGGUGCUGCAUUUCAAACUGGAUAUCUAAAGUGCAGGAGAGGAGAAUGGAAUUCCUAGUGUAGCGGUGAAAUGCGUAGAGAUUAGGAAGAACACCAGUGGCGAAGGCGAUUCUCUGGACUGUAACUGACGCUGAGGCACGAAAGCGUGGGUAGCAAACAGGAUUAGAUACCCUGGUAGUCCACGCCGUAAACGAUGAGUACUAGGUGUAGGAGGUAUCGACCCCUUCUGUGCCGCAGUAAACACAUUAAGUACUCCGCCUGGGAAGUACGAUCGCAAGAUUAAAAC
Molecule: ribosomal RNA, 528 nt
Filed under: uncultured bacterium
Lineage: Bacteria
Description: partial 16S ribosomal RNA
Rfam family: Bacterial small subunit ribosomal RNA
Source: RNAcentral